Molecule: long non-coding RNA, 23787 nt
Filed under: Nicotiana benthamiana
Lineage: Eukaryota; Viridiplantae; Streptophyta; Magnoliopsida; Solanales; Solanaceae
Description: long non-coding RNA (NBEN_LNC004405)
Source: RNAcentral
CUCAACAGAGCAUUUUUGGGACUUAGUGAGUUGCAGAUUUUGCUGCUAUGUGUUGCAGACUUUUCCUUCUCUGCGAUCGCAUAAGCUUCCAUGUGAUCGCAUAAAGCCUUUUGUGCUGGCCUCAUUUUUCCUUCAAUGCGUUCACACAAUCCUUUCUGCGAUCGCAUAGCUCUGCAUCCCCAUUCUAUGUGUUCGCAACCCUCCCACUGCGUUCACAUUGAGUAACCUGGGCUAGUGUCUCAAGGCCCAAUUCCUUAUAUGCGAUCGCAGAGCCUCUAUAUCGCAUAGAGCCUUUUGUGCUGGCCUCAUUUUUUCUUCAAUGCGAUCGCACAACCCCUUCUGCGAUCGCAUAGCUCUGCCUCCCCAUUCUAUGCAUUUGCAUCCCCCCAGCGUUCGCACUGAGUAACAUGGGCUAGUGUUUCAGGGAUACGUGAUCGCAGAGCCUCUACUGCGAUCGUAUAGGUCCAGUUUCCCCUCUUUCGCGAUCGCAUUCUCAUCCAUGCUUUAUCAUAGGCCAUUUUAUUGGGCUUUCACAUUAUGUUCUACACGAUCGCAUCUCAUUUCAUGCGAUCGCAACUGGGCAGAUAUUAAUAUUUAAAAAACGAGGUUUCUUCCAUUUUUCAACAAACUCAAGCUAGGGAGCUCGGUUCUGGGAGAUGUUUCGAGGGAUUUUCAGAGGAAAACAUUGGGUAAUGAUUCCUUACUCCAUUAUGAUUAUUACCCGCUAAUCUAAUGUCGAAUUCAACCUUUAAUUUUGGAUUUGGAAUGAAAAUUGGGGUAAAAUUCUUAGAUCUAACUUUUAUGAUUUGAUAGGGUAUUUGACCUCCGACUUAGGAGAUUUUGAUAUGGUUAGACUCGUGAGAGUACGAGGUUACUGAAAAAUGUGAAACUUAUUCGAUUCGGAGACAUUGUCCUUAGGGGAAUUUUGGUUAUUUCACAUAUUGUCGUGCCUUAGCUUUAAUUUUAACCGCGUUAUCAGUUACUUAUGAUGUUAUUUACAAUAUGCAAUUGCUUUGAAUAGAUUUGGGCCACUCAGAGUCGGAUACUCAUGGCAAUGGCAUUGUUUCUUAGCGGUUUUGUACCAAAUUCGAGGUAAUUGGCUUGUCUAACUUUGUAUGGGGGACCUCUCCCCUUAGGAUAUCUUUGUCAUUGUUUAAAAGCCUUGUGCGCGUGGUGAAGGGUGUGUACUUGUGCUAGUGGUUCGAGAUUCACCUUACUUGGCUUAUUUAGUCUGUGUUUUCUUCCCAUAUUUAAUUGUUAAAGAUGAAACUUCACUUGUUUUGACAUAGGCAAAUCAUGUUAGUAUUUUGUUUGCUCUAUUUGACUAAAUUUCCAUAUUUGUCUUUCUAGCUAAGCACGUUAGAUUCUACUUUUUAAUUGUUGUUAUCAUUUGGCUUACUUUCCGUUAAAUAUUUAUUUGUUGUGGUGUAUUUACUUUUGGGUCUGCACGUUCAAUUUCCAGAGAUCCACUGUUAUUGGUAUGUUGGACUACGGGUUCAAUUUCCAAGAGAUCCUCUGGUUUUGACAUGACGGACUACGGGUUCAAUUGCCGGGAGAUCCUUUGAUAUUGAUAUGACGGACUGCGGGUUCAAUUCUUGGAGAUCCUCAGUUAUUGGUUUAAAGGACUGCUGGUUCAAUUCUCGGAGAUCCUCUGUUAUUGGUAUAAAGGACUGCACGUUCAAUUCACAGAGAUCCUCCGUUAUUGGCAUGAAGGAAUGCGGGUUCAAUUCCCUAAGAUCCUCUGUUAGAGAAGUGAUGGACUACGGGUUCGAUUCCCAGGAGAUCCUCUGAUAUUGGUGUAAAUGGACUGCGGGUUCAAUUCCCGGAGUUCCAUGUAGAGAUCCUUACUUUUGAGUGAUUUGCCUUGUGUUCGUAGUCUGUACUUGUAUCCAUUCUUUUUUAAUUACUGUCUUGAUAGAUAUUCGGGAUUUACUUCAUUAUCUUCUAUUUAUUUUUUAUUACAAUAUUUCUUGUGUUCUUCAUAGUAAGGCCUCGACCUUCAUCGUCACUACUCCAUCGAGGUUAGGCUUGGCACUUGCUGAGUACCGCUGUGGUGUACUCAUGCUACUCUUCUGCACAUUUUUGUUAUGUAGAUCCAGGUACUUCUGAUCGAGCACUAUCAGUGAUCUUAGGAGCUUUACACGGAGAUUUGAGGUAUGCAUCUGCCAUGUCCGUAGAGCUGAAGAGUCUGCUUCUAUUUUACCUUUAGCUAGGGGUUUCAUUCAUGUACUCACUUGUUGUAGAUAUUCCUGGAUGUUAGAGCCAUAUGUUAUACUUUACUCUUCGCCUGUGUUGCCCGUGGGUUUUCGGGUCUUGGAGGUUUUAUGUUAUUUUGAGUCGACAUGUAUGUGCCAGGCGGCACUCAAUACAUUAUCUUAUGCUAUUUAUGUUUUAUUUAUCGUUUAUCGUAAAAAUUGUUGAAUUUCCGCAAUGUAUCAGGCUUACCUAGUCGUGAAGACUGGGUGCCGUUAUGACUGGUUCACGAUUGGUGAACUAGGGGUGUGACACCUAAUUUUAUCAGUAGAGGAAGAAAAUAUUUAAGGAAAGAGGAUCAAGUAAACAACAUGUGCAUAGCAUACAAAUGAGGGUGAACACAUAAAGUUAUUUAAAGAAAAGUUUUUUUUUGAAACACACGGUUUGUGCAAAUAAGGUAAGAAGACCAAUUAACAACCAGUAAAUUAAUGGUCUGAGAUUUUAUACGAGUGAACCUAGCCUGAAAAAAGAAGGGAUUUUAUUUUGGUCGAGUCGUUGAAAAAAAAUGGAAAGAAAUCAAUCAAGCAGUGUUCAGAAGGAAUUUUUAACUAAUUGCAGAUUUGGAAGACCGUUUUUAGGGGAAAUCACAGUAUAUAAAGAGCAUACAAACACUUCAAACACAAAAGGUCAGAAUCGUAUGAAAACAGAGAUGACUUUUUUCAAAAAUCGAAAUCAAACUACUGUAGAGGUGAGAACAUGCAAGUCCGAAAAGACCCCUAAUUUCUAUGGUUUCUUCAAUUAGUCAAGUGUAGAGACAAAACCGAGUAAGUCAAGCAAGGUAAACUCAAAAAAUCCAAAAGAACAUAAACGUUUCUACGAAACAUAAUGAUAGAACACACAGUAAAAGAAAUCACUAGGAAACCCUAGAAGGGAACAAAGUAAAAAGGAAAACACAUAGAAAUCAUGGUAAAAAUACCUUGGAGCCAGGACAGAGCUAAUACAACAAGAACACCAUGUGAAAAUCACAGUAGAACAAGUAUAAUCAAAGAAACCCUAAAUCUGAGAGGGCAACUAGUUUUGAAAGCAAACCUUAGAAAGAUAUUUUUAAGAAAAUCGUUUUAAGAACCUUAAAACAUUCAUAGAUCUAGAGUGGACCUAGAGAAAUAUAGGAAAAACCUCGAUGGGCUAGGGUUUCAGAAAACCCUAGAAGUGAUAAAGGACUGGAAAAGGGCUGGUCGGAGUCGAACGAGCCAGAGAUAGGCUCAUAAGGAUAGGAUACGCUGGAUUUGAGCCGGAGAUUGCCGUGGAACUUGGAUAGCCAAGGUCCAGAUUCAACCCUUCGUGGUCAAGUCGUGAGGCUUCAAUAGUAAAGCGUGAGGAGCCAUAGGAGGCCGGUGGGUGAUGAAGCCACCAUGGAUUCUGGUCAGAAAGUGGACGGAGAAGAAGAAGGGAACUAAUCGGAGAAGAGGGAGGUGGAAGGUUCUAGGCAGAGUGGUAGGUGGAGAGAUAGAGACGAGUGAGGCAAGUGAGGGGUAUUGGGGGGGAGGGUCAUUUGGUUUAAUUUGGAAGGGGUAGAUAGGGACCGUUGAUCUAAAUGAUCAACGGUCGAGAUCAAAUGGGGUAGGUGGGUCAGGUAUGGUGAGGAUUUGGGCCUGGUCCGAUUGGGUUAGAAAUUUAGGCUAAAAUAUGGUGUAGAUUGAGGCUAUAAUUGAAAUAAAAUAGGCUAGUUCUUAAAUAGCCACUUUUUCCUUUUUAAUUAAUUAAAAAUGGUAAAAUGAUUUAGAAACAAAUUUAAAAAUACUGGACUGGUUAAUAAUACACAAAUAAGUUAAAAUAUUAGGCAUAAUUUUACAAUACCAAAAUACGUUUAAUUACCGAAUGAGCUACAUUUGCAAUUAUAUAUAAUUUAGAAAUGCCUAAUAAAUUUGUAAAAUAAUUGAAAAAUCAUAUUAAUUACAUUUUAAUAUAAAUAUGAGGAUAAAAAUGAGUUAUUCACCAAAAUAUAAUUUUUGUGAAUAAUCAACUGGGGUGGGCGGGUCGGGUAUGGUGAGGAUUUGGGCCUGGUCCGAUUGGGUUAGAAAUUGGGGCUAAAAUAGGGUGUAGAUUGAGUCCAUUAUUGAAAAAAUAGGAUAGUUCUUAAAUAUCUACUUUUCCCCUUUUGAAUUUAUUAAAAAUGGUAAAAAAAUUUUAAAAUACUGAACUAGUUAAUAAUAUAUAAGUAAUAAUUUAAAAAUAUUAGGCAUAAUUUUACAGUCUCAAAAAUAUUUUCAAUUACAAUAUGGGCUAUAAUUGCAAUCAUAUACAAUUUAGUUUUAGAAAUGCCUAAUAAAUUUGUAAAAAAUAUGGAAAAAUCAUAUUAAUUACAUUUUAAUGUAAAUAUUAGGAUUAAAUGAGUUAUUCACCAAAAGAUAAUCUUUGGAACUAAUUUUGAUAACUUUUGAUAAUAAAAAUAGGGAGUAAAUUUGUUUAAAGAUCAUUAGAAUACCAAAAAUCGUGGGUGCGCUCUUAUGUGCACGUAUAUAUUAUUUGGGAGGUAUUUUGGUAUACAAAUACAUGGGAAACAUAUGGGUAUCAACUACUGCCCUCUUUACCCGAGGAGGAUUAAAGAGUUUUCGGGUAAAGAUAAGAUGGACAAUUUUGACCGAAAACAGUGAUUAUAAAAGAAUUAUGAUCGUUCUCUGGUUUUGAGCUGCCCACAUAUCCCUGGUUUUACAGGAAUCGAGCAUAUGUAGUUCGGGAUCCAAUGACAAAAUGUGUCUAUUGAGGUUUGAAACGAGGGAUGUAAUGGUUGAGAUUGAAAAGAAUUUUGGGUUUAGUUAGGUUGAGGAAACAUCCGGAGCGGGAUCGCUCCUGCUGAGAUGGGUGUUAGGUAGCCGGAGUACCUGUAAAUGAACAAUGCAUAUAUUUAGCGUAAUUUAAGUAUGAUGCAAGUUCCUGCUGGACCAUGAGUGUUCUCUUCGAACGCUUAGGAUGACGUCCUUAGUCUAUGAUGUCUUGGGCCAUGAAGAGCAUAAAAGAAAAGAUUUGCAGGCCAUGAAAUGGUGUGCUCGGGCUAUGCAGAUGGUGCCUCCGAACUAUGACGCCUUUGAACAAGUUGGCAAUCUUUCAGCCCAUUUGCUCCGGAAUUUUGAGGGUCCUCUUCAAAAUUAUGCCCCAUUUUACUAGGCUGGGGCUGCUGAUGGUUGUGGUGAGUGACUGAAAACGGAUCAAUUCCAUCCUCAAAAUUCUGCCCCAGUUUAAUAGGUUGGCGCUGAUGAAAAGAUUGAAAGACUUACUUUAGAAUAUUGAGGGUCCUUCUCAAAAUUCUACGCCAGUUCCAAUUGCGGGGAAAAAUGGGAUAUUUAUUAAAAUGUGAUCGAACCCAUAGGGUUGCCUACGUAUUACCUCUUAAACGGGAAUCAAGUCAGGAGUAGUUCAAAUUACAUCAUGAAAGAAAAGCACAUUUAACAUGUAGUAUUUUUUUACUCCGUCUGAGUUGAUUGGCUUUGGCCAGACUUCUCUUUCCAUUUCGGCGAGAAUAAAGGCUCCGCCAGUUAGAACCUGAUGAACCAUGUACGGACCCUGCCAAUUGGCAGAGAAUUUCCUUUUGGCUUCAUCUUGAUGUGAAAAUAUUUUCUUCAAUACCAGCUGUCCUGGUGCGAAUUUCCUUUGCUUAACUCUCUUGUUGAAGGCUUUGGACAUUCUGUUCUGAUACAAUUGACAGUGACAAACUGAAUUUAUCCUCUUUCUAUUUAUGAUGAAUAAUUGCUCGUAGCGACUUUUGACCCAUUCUGCAUCAUCUAACUCUAUUUCAUGUAUGAUUCUCAAGAAAGGGGUUUCUACUUUGGCGGGGAUGACUGCCUCUGUACCAUAAACCAGCAUGUAGAGGGUGGCCCCAGUUGAUGUGCGUUCGAACCGUGGUACAAUAAACCAGUAAGGCAAACGCUUAUUUCUUGUGCCACUGCUCGUUCCUUUCAAUCAUUUUCCUUAGUAUCUUCUAUAUGUUCUUUUUGGCUACUUCUACAACUUCGUUCAUCUGAGGUCUUUAAGCCGUAGAGUUCUAGUUUGUUUCACACAUUGCCUUCAUCAGGUCGCUGUUGAGAUUGGGACCAUUGUCGUUGAUGAUUAAUUUUGGAAUUCCGAAUUCACAAACUAUAUGAUCACGGGCGAAAUAUGUUGCUACUUUCUUGAUGACUACUUUGUAUGUUGCUGCUUCAACCCAUUUGGUAAAGUAAUCAAUUACCACUGGGAUGAACUUGUGCCCGUUUGAUGAGGCUGGUUCGAUUGGUCCGAUAACAUCCAUUCCCCAAGCGGCGAACGACCACGAUGAUCUUGUUGCAGUAAGAUCGUUUCGAGGUACUUUUAUCAUAUCUGCAUGUAUCUGAUAAUGAUGGCAUCUUCGGACAUACUGGAUGCAGUCCAUUUACAUAGUCAUCCAAAAAUACCCUGCUCGGAGUAUCUUCUUUGCCAAAAUGAAACCAUUCAUGUGCGAUCCACAAGUGCCUGCGUGCACUUCCCCCAAUAGUUUGGUUGCUUCUCUUGCCUCGAAAGAAGUUGUUGGACAAUCUCCGAAGUGUGCAUUUCUGAGUAGCAUUGGCAAGCUCCGGGUACUCUCCUGUUGUCAAAUAUUCCCUGAUAUCGUGGAACCAAGGUGUCCUAUCACCUUCUUCCUCGAGAUGAGCACAAUAAGCCGGUUUGUCGCAAAUCUUGACCUAGAUGGGAUCAAUAAAGUUUGUAUCUAGAUGCUAGAUCAUAGAUGAUAACGUGGUUAGGGCAUCAGCGAACUCAUUCUGUAUUCUGGGGACGUGUUGGUAUUUCGUGUUUCAGAAUCUCUUCCUCAACUCUUGUAUAUGAUGUAUGUAAGGGAGUAUCUUGGAAUUCUUGGUUGUCCAUUCUUCUCGAACCUGAUGUAUGAGUAGGUCCGAGUCUCCGAUCACUAAUAGUUGCUGGAUGUUCAUGUCAAUUUCCAGUUUGAGUCUUAUGAUGCAUGCUUUACUCGGCCAUGUUAUUGGUGCAUGGGAAUCUGAGCUUGGCAGAUACUAGGUAAUGCUAACUGGUUUCUGAUACCAGGACUGCUCCUAUACCAAUUCCUUUGAAAUUUGUGGCUCCGUCGAAGAACAUUCUCCAUCCAUAAUAGGAUUCUGCAAUGUCUUCUCCUAUGAAAGCUACCUCUUCGUUAGGAAAAUACAACUUUAGCGGUUCAUAUUCUUCUCCUACAGAAUUCUCGUCAAUGUGAUAUGCCAAUGCUUGUCCUUUGACGGCCUUCUGGUUAACAUAAACAAUGUCAAACUCACUUAACAGUAUUUUCCAUUUGGCAAGCUUGCCGGUAGGCAUGGGCUUCUGAAGAUAUAUUUUAGUGGAUCCACACUGAAUAUGUGAUAAGUGGUGUAAGCACAGAAAUAGUGCCUUAGUUUCUGAGCUACCCAUGCUAGAGCACAACAAGUGCAUUCUAAUAAGGUAUACCGAGCCUUGUACGGGGUAAACUUCUUGCUGAGGUAAUAGAUGGCUUGCUCCUUUCUACCCGUUUCAUUCAUGUAGUCCCAAAACACACCCAAAUGCUCGGUCCAACACUACAAGAUAAAGCAACAGAGGUCUCCCUUGCUCGGGUGGAACCAAAACUCGGUGUUGACAAAUAUUCCUUGAUUCUAUCGAAAGCCUUUUUACAUUCAUCAGUCAAUUUAGUGGCUGCAUCCUUCUUGAGCAUCUUGAAGAUAGGUUCACAAAUAACAGUGGACUGGGCUAUGAACCGACUGAUAUAGUUGAGUCUUCCCAGAAAAUGCAUUACAUCUUUCUUGUUCUUUGGUGGUGGCAACUCUGGAAUGGCUUUGACCUUUGACGGGUCCAAUUCUAUUCCGAGUGACUCACAAUGAAACCCCGAAUGCAUACUUGGCUGGAUUUAGUUUCAAGUUGUAUCUCCUCAGAGUAUUGAAGAACUUCCUCAAAUCAUCCAUGUGAUCUGCAGCUUUCUUGGAUUUGAUAAUAACGUCGACCACAUACACCUCGAUCUCCUUAUGUGUCAUGUCAUGAAAGAUGGUGGUCAUGGCCCUCAUGUUGGUAGCACUAGCAUUCUUCAAAACUGAACGACAUCAUUCUGUAACAGUACAUCCCCCACGGUGUGAUUAAUGCCGUUUUGUUUGCAUCCUCUUCAUCCAUCCAUAUCUGAUGGUAUCCAUCAAAACAAUCGACGAACAAUUGCAGCUCAUGUUAGCGCAGUUGUCGAUCAAUAUGUGUAUAUUUGGCAAAGGAAAAUCAUCCUUGGAACUGUCCUAACUUUCCAGUCUUUUUUUGGUACUGGUAGGAUAUUGGUUAGGCAUGUCAGAUAUUCUACCACCCUGAGAACCCUAGCUUUGACUUGGUUGGUAACCUCUUCUUUGAUUUUCAAACUCAUGUCCGGCUUGAAUUUUUUGAGCUUCUGUUUAACCAAUGGGCAUUACGGAUCUGUCGGCAACUUGUGAGCCACUGUGCUGAGACAAGUCAUGACAUCAUAUGACCAGGCAAAGAUAUCCUCAUACUCUUUAAAGAACUCUGUGUACUCUUUCUUUUCUGGUGGUGACAAAUGUACACUGAUACAUGUUUCCUUGACAUUCGCUGCGUCUCCCAGAAUAAGUAUGUCAGUUUCAUCGAAAUUGGACUUAGGCCUGCUAUCGAAAUUCUCGACCUCUCUAACAACCUCUUCUGGUAUUACAUCCUCUUCUGAAUCUAUGUCCGUUUGUUGCAUGGCCUCAUUGCAAGUUACAGUCAUUAGUUCAUCAUCAAGAUGUGUAAUAGUAAUGCUGUAAAAAAUAAAGUAAAUGGUAGAGGAAAGUAAUAAGAGCGAGAUAUAAAGAUAAACUUGGAAAAUGCUUUUGAUUAAAUUCAUAAUUGUUUGAUACAUCAGAGCUCUUUUCAAAAGUAAAGACAAUGCGGAAAAUUAAAAUCAACUAAAAAUAAAAUGCGAUGCAUAUGCGUCAUUCAGCCUUGCUACCCCCACGCUCUAUGGGCUUUGGUGGUCCUGAUUGACCAAUUGGUGUGGUGUUCUCCUCGGUUCACAGCUUGAAUAGAAGGGCCUUCCUCUCUUUCCUUCUCGAAGAUAACACAAUAAUCUAUAUUGUCCUCCAGAAAUAGGUUCUUCAUUGCUGCUAAUGCCUCGUCUUUCUCAGAUCCAUACAUGACAUCGGUCGACUGAAAGGUCUGUUCCAGCUGAGGUAGAGGGUACUCCUGUGCGUAGUAGGGACAGUGCAAUAGUGGUGACCAAUGAUUGAACUCCUCCCAGGUCUUUUCAUACCCCAGGCCAAAAGUGGUACCAUGCUUCUUCAACUUGAUAGGCUCAGUGAUGCUUUGGGGUGUUUUGCCAAUUCCUUUCUAGGCUCACACCCGUUCCAGUUUAGGAUGCUCUUAGUCUUGUUAUCCUACCACUUGUCUUUGUCUAUGUCGUUGACUCGCUUGAUGUGGUGGUAUGUUUCUCCGUUUAUUUUCCUUCUACAUCCAAUCAUCUGGAUGGUUUAGCGACUGUAUAUAGGGUUGCUAGCGUCGCCAUGGAUGAUCACUUCAUGAUAGUUCCAUUCAAAUUUUACCGCUUGAUGCAAAGUUGAUGCCACAGCCCAUGCGGCGUAGAUCUAGGGUCGUCCCAACAACAAAUUGUAGGAUGCUUGCACGUCAGUGACUUGGAACCCAACAUCAAACCAGGUGGGUCCCAUUUGUAGGAAUAGGCUAAUUUCUCCGAUGGUGGAUCUUUGAGACCCAUCAAAAGCUUUGACACUGAUAGCUCCGUAUUUGAUCUUAUGCAGUCCUUUACCCAAUGUCUUGAGACUGAUUAACGAACAGAUGUUAAGGCUGGAUCCGCGUCGACUAAGAUCCUGGUGAUAAAAUGAUCCUUACAUUAUGCAGUGAUGUGCAAUGCCUUGUUAUGGCAAAGCCCCUCUGGUGGUAACUCAUCCUCGUGGAAGGUGAUCUUUUGGUUUUGCAGUACCUUCCCCACCAUAUUUUCCAUUUCGCCUCUUGUUGUGUUGCUGGGAACAUAAGCUUCGCUCAGUAUUUUCAUUAAGGCAUUUUUAUGUGCCUCCGAGCUUUGCAGAAGAGCCAGGAUAGAAAUCUGUGUUGGCGUUUUUUCAACUGCUCAAUGACUGAGUACUCUUUAAAGGUCAUUGGGUCUAGUUUUAAUAGCCCGCCAAAAGGCUUGCUUGGGGGACGCGGCUAAAUGUUCUGGGUGUAUACCCUGCCUGUCCUGGUCAUGCCCUGUGCUGCGAUUUCUUCCCCAGCAUAUGUCUUUCCCUUACUUCUAGCCUUUUCUGUGUAAUCCUAGCGUAUAGCAUUUUUCUUGAACGGGGUCACAUCUGUCACGGAGACCGGAAUUGGCAUCCUGGAAGGUAACACAGUAACUUCGAAUGGCGCAUGUGCCUUUGGAAUUCCGAACUAAACCUUAAUCAGGUUUGGCGCCUUUGCAGGAGAUUCUUCAAACUCGAGCGGCACAAACACAUUUACCACAUUGCCCUCAGAGGGAUGAAUUUGAGAAAUAAUGGGAUUGAGGCUAAAUGCUGGCUUGUUGGCUCGUCUCCUUCAACUAUCAAACCGAUUAACCCCUUGCGGUUCUUCAAACUCGAUCAUAAUGCUUCCACCCUUGUGGUCAGGAAGAGGUUUGUUGCAGACAGUAGGAGCGGGCUCCUUGGUAAUGCAGCAUUCUGAGAAGAUUCCUCAAGUUCCUUUCUAGCGCUUGUAUCUCCCAUUUUGCCUUUGUUCCUGUUUCUGGUAGGACUUGGAGGAGGAGGAGGCGGAGGACCCUUGUAUCUUGUGGAGUAUGCUGAUGGUAUUAGAAUGCACAAACUAACCUUUGGGAGGGGAAUAAAAAUAAAAGAAAAACAAAAGGUGAAAAGUUAGUGCGGAUUCUAAAAAAUAAUAUUGCGGUAUUUAAAUAUGUUGUGCAAUAGUAUCAGCCGUUUCCUAAUUUGGGUGCCUCGUUGUGCCCGAGGUAGGCCUAGCGACAAAUUAAAUUUGGAGAACUUAUAAUUCGAAAUGCCAUAUUUUAUUGAUAAGGACAAGACGAGUCAUAAGACAACUGAAUGAUAAAAGGUGUCACUAAUGGCCGGUGGCCUUAUUACAUUAAGAAAGCACAAAAUAAAAUCCUAACUACUUGGUCCCAGAAGGACCUUCCCCAGAUUUGGUACUCUUGCCUCUCUCAUGCAGCUGCAUCAACUCGCGCAUUCCUAACAUCAGAUAAGCUCGAGCCAGAUGUCCGCCUGCACUUCCUUCUGCAUUCUGACGGUCUUCAAUUCUUUUCAAGAACUUCCCUUCUAACUCCAUUAUACCUCGCUCCAAAUAUCCGAAACGGUUGUUGGCAUUAACAGCCAUGUCCUUCCAUUCGUUGAUCAGCUUCUCGAGGGCUUCCUUUAUUUCCCAAUGUUCAUUCCCACAUUCUCGCAUCCUCUUGCGCAGUUGAUUGUACUUGACAUGUGCUUCAGUUUUCUCAUCAAUAAUCCUAUGACCAUGGAUAAAUCCAGGAUGACCCAAACCAAUAUGAUCAUCUUCCAACCAACCAAUGUAGUGCGGCACACAUCCGGCAUGAUACCUGUCCGGUUCAAUUAACUCCCUUCCUAAGACGAGCUUGUAGUGCCACACAUGCUGAGUGUGACACAUGUGCGGGCUAUCAUCAUUUUGAAAGUCAGCCCUGAAAUGACUCAUUUUCUCUAUCCUGGGUAUGAUUUGCUUCUUUACGGCUUGCCUUAUGACUCGGAGGUGGACAUAAGGAUGAUUUCCACUCAGAUCGAUGAGUAUGAGGAAUGGUGCAUCUCGAUAAUGGAAAAAGAACUCCCCCGUUGGGAACCAGUCAAACAUCCACCAAACUUGAUCUUCGUUGAGAUUUUCAAACAAUUCCACCCAUCCACUGGCGUCUUCUGGCUGAGUUGGGCAUGAAGUUCAUUCGCUUUGGAUGAUGAAAAGCGAUAUGGUCAUCCCAAUCCCUCCGGAUAAUUUCCUGUAUGAAGUCGCCUUUCUGAAAGUGUUCUAUGAGCCAAAGUUGAAGUAGCAGAUUACAACCCUCGAAAUGUGGAUCCCCUUGUUGACACAUUCCCAAGGCUCAAUAGAUUUCAGCAAUGAUCAUAGGCACUAUGCUAAAAGAUUGCCCGUCGAUACCCUCCAUCAAGGUCUUGGUCACCAUGGCUAGUCUGGUGUGGAUCCUAGCCUUCUUCAUGGGAAAUAUUAUCAUAUCGACGAAGCAAAACCUGAACACAAAGACUCUUCUAUGUAUAUGUCCUAAAGAAGUGAAGGAGAACUCGUCCAUGUAGGUGGGAUAGGAUUUGCUGUGGCCAUAUCUCUCGUACAAGAAGUCAAAGGGCAUGUAGGAUUCCUUCAAGCAAGAAAGGUCGGGAUUUUUCUUGAGUCCCAUCAUCUUGAGAAAGCCCCUACCUUUGCGGUUUUCCAGCAUAAGCAAACCCGGAGUAUCCUAUGGGAUACCAGCUAGGCCUCCUAUCUCUUCUAGCAAAGGGGUCAUUUCCAAGUCUCCGAAGUGGAACACUGAUCAAUCUCUAUCCCAAAACAAAGUGGCAGCCUCUAUGAUCUUGUUGUUAGGCUGGAUUUCCAAAAGUUAGGGAAAAUAUCCUAAGUACUUGUGGACGAGGGUUUGAUCGCUAGCAUGAAGAUCUUCCCACCAACUUAGCAACCUCAGGUGAAUGUUGGAUACCAUGCCGAAUCUGGGGAAUUCGUGCCUCAUUUAUGCAAAGAAAAGUGCUAGGCCCUUAUUCCCACAAGACUCGACCAUUUAAAUCAAUAAUUAGAAAAAGGCAUUUAGUUCUCUAAAUAAAUGCACAUAACGUGAAGGUGUCUAUUUGGGUUUCGGGAAACCCGAUGGACUUUGGUUUAGGCUAUCUUAAUGAGUCAUUAUGCGGACAACAUAACUGACUACGCUAGGCGUGACUAUGAUGCAUGAUCAGUUUAAUGGAAUAAGGUUUCUACUUUUGAAGAGCUAGAUAAGGUACCUUGAGCGUACAAAUCAAGAGGGAAAGACGCGGAACCGUCGACUACACCGUUGAUCGACUGGUUUUAUCGCAAAUAUGCCUUUGCCACAUUUAUGGGUUUAUAAAUCAGAAGGUGACAACCACUCAUUAUAAGCAUUUAUAUAGGAUUUGUUUUGGCAGGAGUUGAAUAUGAUGUUGAGGAAUGCAGUUACAACAAUGAAACAAAUUACAUGUAUUUUCACGUUCACAAAGAUUACAAUAAAUACUUGAAAAUUAUAACGGAAUUGAAAUAAUAAGUAAAGAAGAAAUUAAUGAAAAACAUGAAGAGCCAAGUUAGAAAAUAAUGAUGAAAUAACUAAUGACAGGAAAUAAAUGCUAUUAAGGAAGCAAUAAAGUCACAAAAGCAAGUAAUGGUAAUAGCCUUAAAGAAAUUCCCUAGCAUAGUCGCCAUGCUGUCGACGCCCCCUUUUUCUAAGGAGAAAUCGGGUAUACGAUAUUAUGGGUGGAAUGACUCUUUUAUCCCCUUUGGGGAAUUUAGGUUAUGGAUUUUGGAGAGUCGCCACCUAAUGAUUAUAGUGCAUUAGGACACUUUUAGAGAAAAUUGGGGGAAUCUGGUUAUAGAAUUUGAAGAGUCACCACCUAUUGAUUAUAGUGCAUUAGGACUCUUUAAAGAGAAGAAGCGAUUUUGAAAGAAAACCAGAGUUCGGGUAAGGGCUUGAGACUAUCUCAAGGGGAAGGUGUUAGGCACCCCUCAAGAUCAACUAGUGUGAUUCCCGGUCUUGCUUAAUUGUGACUUUAAUAAGAUUAAGAGUAAACAAACAAAGUUUGCACAUAGAAAACAUAGCAAGUUGAGAAUUUUGAAGGAAGAAAGACACAAUUUGUUUUGAAAAGAGAAAUUUUGGUUGAAAACAUUAGUCUAAAAUAAUGCAUUAACAAAGAAAAAGAAAGGGGGUCCUACGGUUAAACAUAAUAUGGAUCCCUUUGGUGCAAUAUCUAGCAAUCAUUCUCACACGAGAUAUUAACGCACCAGUCAUCAUAUCCUUACUCUACCCUUCCCACCCUGUUAAGGUAUUUAAACGUGAUUAGUCUCGAUUACUUAUUGCAUGCUAAUACCUGUCCCAGCUUAUCAGUACAUGGGUAUUUGGACUUCUAAUCCUAAAAGGGAAGAAAGGGGAUGGAGACAUAUGUGGAGUUUAAAAGGAUAAAAUACUAGGGUGUCAAUCAAAACAAAUAACAAAUACACGGGGAAUUAAACAAACACUCAAAGUCUCAUCCAAACCCCGAAUAUCACAUAACAACUAGUUUAGCAUGACUUGAAUAUAUUGAUUUGGUUUUUAAUUAAAGUUAAGCAGCGGACGGGUCAGUUUAACACAUAAAGGUCUAUAUAAGGCAACUUUGAUCCAAUUGUUAGGAGUUUUUGUAUUUUUAAAACAAGUUAUGGAUUGAGGUCCUAAUGCAGGAGAGUGCAAAAAGAGAAAGUAUAGGAAAUUAUCGAGGUUCAGAAAAGAAGUUUUUGGAAAUAGGUAGAGUUGUAAAAGUAAAAGUGCAAUUGAGUUUCUAGAGGUAAAAUGCUUCAAAGAGCGAGUUUUUUAAAUUUUUUUGCAAACUUUAUGAAUGAAAGUACAUACAGAUAUUUGGUAAAAAAUUUAGAGAUAAAAAUAUAGAUUUAGAGAAUUUCAGACAGGUUUUGGCAAGUUUUAUAGGAAAAUGUUGGGACAAAUUUCCUGAUUAUCUAUAUUUAAGACAGAUUUAGGCGAGUUGAAAACCUAUAGGCAGGAUCUCUAUACCUUGAUUUUUAUCGACUCCUCACUACUUUAAUCCAUUAAGGAAGUGAGCUCUGGAUUACCCUACUGUUUUGCCUAGCGUUUUACGCAUUUCUUAAUGGCAUGAUCUCUAUAUGCAAUAGAUUGUUUAAUAUGUCCUAUAGGCAUGAUCCCUACUGACUUGCAACGUGUCUGAGUAUUAAUUCCUAUAGGCAUGACAUCUAAAUGAUAGAAAAGAAUGCAAAGCCUAUAGACAUGAUAUCUAGGUGACUUGAAAUAGUAAAAGUCCCAUAGGAAUGACAUCUAGGUGAAUUGAAAUAAUAAAAGUCGUAUAGGCAUGAUCUCUACCCGUUGACAUACAAUCAACUAAAGUAAACCCCUCCCAUAUCUCUUUACUCCUAUAAUCCCCAAGUUUUUAUUACAAAGUUACUAUUAUAAAGCCAAAAAUAAAAUAAAAUACAUCAUAACCCAUAGCUAGAUCAAAACUGACUAAUGCAAUAUUGAUAUCCAAUACAUGUGUUUUACAAAAUCCAGGUUCUAGAUUCCUAGGCCUUCUCUUAGAGUGUUUCAAAGUUCCAAGGAGCUUCAAGAGCCCAGGCAAUGCUUACACUCUAAAGAUUGAAUGUUGUAACAGAGUAGUGCAAUGUGUGGAAUUAUCGGCCCUUAGGCAAUAAAGUUCAAAGGGAACUCUAGGGUCCCUAAGUAUGGCUUAUCCGAGGGGGGUAGAACCUAAAGAGAUAGGAGUAGGAGUAAAGUGAGAUAGAAACCUCAGCAGGAGGUGGUCAUACCCAGUCAUGGCAUAGACUGGCACACCCCUAACCUCCAACUUAGAUUCAAGUGAAUAAGAGCAGACUCUUAAAGUGUCAAACUCGGGUCUAAAUGAUGAUCAAGACAUCAACAUACCUAAAUUAGAGCUCAACACAUUGAAGGGAAAAGGAAUCGGAAAGCAGUCAAGUAGAGACUCAGAAGAGUCUAGUCCUGAAUCACAUACAGCAAUUCAUAAUACUACUAUGACCCAAGAGAAACUCAGAUACAAAGGGGAUAGGGAAAAUGGAUAAACAUGCUUUAAAGUAAUUAAAUAGUGUAGGAAAGCAUAAAUAAACACAUAAAGAAAAGGGGCAGAAGUAGAGAAAUUGAACAAGGAUGCUAUGUAGUAUAAAAAAGCAUACUAGUUAUAAUUCAAGGAUAUCAUACUAACAUCAGCACACAGACGGGCAUGACUAAAGAGGAACAAACUCAAGAAACUCCCAAGUGUUUAGAAGUUCAAGCAACUAGAAGUGAAGUUGUAGAAUGCUCAAUAGAGAGUAGUAAUAGUAAAGUAGAGAGAUGAGUUCUGAUUUUUUUUUGUUUUUGCAGUCAAAAUUAUGUGAUAAAGUGAAAAGAAAUGCAUGUAGUUGUACUCGAAAUCAGAUAUGCAAGCAAUGAAAGAAAAUUAGUCAAGUAUCAAUUGAGAUCAAUUAACUAACUGAGAUUCCUUUAAUUAAGGAAUCCUAAUUUGAUCAGUAAAGGAAGAAAAUAUAUAAGAAAAAGGGAUCAAGUAAACAACUUGUGCAUAACAUGCAAAUAAGGGUGAAUACAUGAAGUUAUUUAAAGAAACGUUUUUUGAAACACACGGUUUGUGCAAAUAAGGUAAGAAGACUAAUUAAUAAACUGUAAAAUCAAAGGUCUGAGAUUUUAUACGAGUGAACCUAGCCUAAAAACAGAAGGGUUUUUAUAUAGGUUGAGUCGUGGGAAAAAAAGUAAAGAAAUGAAUUAAGCUGUGUUCAGAAGAAAUUUCAAACUAAUUGCAUAUUUGAAAGACCAUUUUUAGGGGAAAAUCACAGUAUAUAAAGAGCACAAAAACACUUCAAACACAAAAGGUCAGAAUCGUAUGAAAACAGAGAUGACUUUUUCAGAAAUCGAAAUCAAACUAGAUUAGAGGUGAGAACAUGCAAAACCGAAAAGACCCCAAAUUCUAGGCUUUCUUCCAUUAGUCAAAUGUAGUGAAAAAAGCAAGUAAGUCAGGCAAGGUAAACUCAGAAAAUUCAAAAGAACAUAAAUGUUUCUAGGAAACAUAAUGAGAGAACACACAGUAAAAGAAAUUACCAGGAAAACCUAGAAGGGAAAACAGUUAAAAAGGAAAAUACAUAGAAAUCAUGGAAAAAAUACCUAGGAGUCAUAGCAGAACUAAUACAAGAAGAACACCACGUGAAAUCACAGUAGAAUAAGUAAAAUCUAUGAAACCCUAAGUCUGAGAGGGCAACUAGAUUGAAAGCAAACCUUAGAAAGAGAUUUUUAAGAAAAUCAUUUUAAUACCCUAAAAAAAAAUAGAUCUAGAGUGGAUCUAGAGAAAUAUACAAAAAACCUCGACGAGCUAGGGUUUUAGAAAACCCUAGAAGUGAGGAAGUCGUGGAAAAGGGCUGGUCUGAGUCGAACAAGUAAGAGAUAGAAUCAUAAGGCUAGGACAUGCAGGAUUUGAGCCGGAGAUGGCUGUGGAACUUAGAUCUCCAAAGGUCGAGAUUCAACCCUUCGUGGUCAAGUCAUGAGGCUUCAAUAAUCAAGCAUGAGGAGCCAUAAGAGGCCGGUAAGUGGUAACCACCAUGGAUUCAGGUCAGAAAGUGGACGGAUAAGAUGAAGGGUAACUCACUGGAGAGGAGGGGGUGGAAAGUUCUAGAGAAAAUGGUGGGUGGAGAGAGAGAGAGAGACGAGUGAGGCAAAUGAGGGAGUCAUUUGGUUUAAUAUCGAAAGGAUAGAUAGGGACCAUUGAUCCAAAUUAUCAACGGUCGAGAUCAAAUAAGGUAGGUGGGUUGGGUAUGGUGAGGAUUUGGGCCCUUUCCGAUUGGAUUAGAAAUUGGGGCUAAAAUAUGUUGUAGAUUGAGGCCAUAAUUGAAAUAAAAUACGCUAGUUCUUCAAUAGCCACUUUUCCCCCUUUUUAAUUUAUUAAAAAUGGUAAAAUGAUUUAAAAACAAAGUUAAAAAUAUUGAAUUACCUAAUGAUAUAUAAAUAAUAUUUAAAAAAUAUUAGGCAUAAUUCUACAAUCCCAAAAUACAUUAAUUAAUAGAAUGAGCUACAAUUGCAAUUAUAUACAAUUUCACUUUAGAAAUAUCUAAUAAAUUUGUAAAAAUAUGGAAAACUCAUAUUAAUGACAUUUUAAUAUAAAUAUUAGGAUAAAAUGAGUUAUUCACCAAAAGAUAAUUUUUGGAAAUAAUUUUGGUAAUUUUUUAUAUUAAAAUACACACUAAAUUGGUUUAAAGAUCAUUAGAAUACCAAAACCCGUGGGCGCGCUCUUAAUGCAUAUAUCGUUCUUUGGGAGGUAUUUUGGUAUAAAAAUACAUGGGAAAAAAUUGUGUAUCAACACUAUAUGUUAAGCGUCUCAAAACUAACAAGGUUGUUCGAUGUGCAAAUUAGUCAAGUUUUGUUCAGGUGGUUGGUUUUGUUGGUAAUCUGGCUUCCCAUCCUUUCUUCACAAGAUCCAAUGGGAAGGUUCCUAUGGCCUCUGAAAUCUGUCUACAAAUCAUCGAUCUUGAGGAUAGCCUAACAGUGACAAUUCCACAACUAGAAUCUACAGCUGUUAAAGAGAAUAGGAUGUUGCAUCUCCGCAUUUUGAAAAUGUGGGAUGCUUGCUAUAAUGGUAGGGAACUGCCAAUUGCAAUCCAUGGGAUCCCUGAAUGGAUCCCUAGGUCAGGUGAGGUAACUAAUGUAAUUAUGCCCAACCCCCUCAUCCCAUGCGGGCACCCUCUAAUGUUGUCCAUUAAUCCUGGCAUGCCUUCUGUGGUUUCGCCCUUAGUCACUGGCUUCAAGAGCACAACCUCCAAUGUUAAUCUUUCAGGGUCUACAAGUUUAACAGAAAUAACAUAUGUGACCCCGUACUCCUUCACAUAACCUCCGAAUAUGAUCUCUCGGUACAGCAAGAAAAGGUGGUUAAAACUCCUGAGCAAGUGGAAAUGGCUCCAACGAUGAAGAGCUUGGAACAAAUCCUGAAAAACAUGCAAGGUCUGAGUGGCCAAAAGAGUGUCAUACGCCGAACUUUGUAUGUUUCCCCAUUUCCACGUGCCAUCUAGCUUCAAGAUGCCAAAAUUUGAAAAGUACGAUGGACAUGGAGACCCGGUCGCUCACCUGAAAUAAUAUUGUAACUAGUUGAGAGGCACUGGUGGAAAAGACGAGCUCCUAAUGGCCUAUUUCAGGGAAAGCCUCAUCGGAAUCGCUUCUGAGUGGUAUACGGAUCAAGAAAUUACUCAUUGGCACGUGUGGGACGAUAUGGACCGAUUUUAUCCGCUAGUUCUAGUAUAGUGUGGACAUCGCUCGCGAUAGAAACUCUUUGUCCAAUUUGAAAAAGAAAACCGUGGAAGCCUUCCACGAAUAUGCUGUCAAAUGGCAUGAGCAAGCUUCCAGGGUAAAGCCUCCAAUGGACGAAAAUGAAAAGGUCAGGGUCUUUCUAUAGGCCCAAGAGGUGGACUACUUCCAUAACAUGAUGUCUGCUAUGGGAAAGCCAUUUGUUGAGCCAAUCAAAAUUGAGACGACGGUGGAAAAUGGCAGAAAAUGGGUUGUAUAUUGAGUCAUGCUACUUUUAAAGCCAUAUCAGUAGAUUUUCAAAAUGGUUCAUAGGAUUUGAUAAAUGGAAACGGGAGAGAAGAAGGAACUAGGUGGCUUCCAACUCGAGGGUGACCCGCAAGUCAUUCAACCAAUCAUAUAUGUUUCCUGAGGUCCCUCAACAUUAUUAUCCCUUUCACGAUGCUUCUUAUCCGGUGGCACCACCUCGUUAUGCGGUGAUGACCGCGUGACCAUACACACGACCACAACAUCAUAUACAAAACUAAACUCCACCUCCCAUAAAUGCCCAUCCUUACCAAGCUCCAUAUAAUCCUCAACCAUAUGAUCCCCAAUAUAAUCCUUCGCCUAAGAUAGCCUUUCAGAAAGAACCAGUUCACCCCUCUUGGUGAAUCGUAUUCAAGCUUGGUCAAAAAUCUAAUCAGGCUAGAGCUAUUGCAGCUAGUGGCUCCGAACCGACCUAACCCCGAGUCCCUCUCGCCCUGAGCUGAUGCUAUAUGUGAAUACCACUCUGGAGUGUCACACCUCCUUUUUCUUACCCCUGGAAUGGUAUAAGGAAGUUUUUCCAAUUAAAAGAUAAUCGAAACAGGAUUAUAUAUAUUAUAAUUCAGAUUCGCCACUUGGAAUAUUUAGGGUGUCCCAAGUCACCGUCUCAAAUCCCAAAUCGAGGAAAAGAUUGACUCUGUAUUACAGUUCGCGAACCAGAAAUCCGAGAAAGGAAUUUUGUUUACUCGGGAGAAGGUAUUUGUUAUUCUCGAGUUCCGUGGUUCAAUCACGGUCGCUCAAUUAUUAUAAAUGGCCUAAUUUAAAACACUUUUAAUCCUAUGUGUAAUUUUAACUUCAAAGCCACUUUGAUUUAUUUUAAAGAAUAUUUAACAUCGUUUAAAACAUGUCUUUGGAUCGCACUACAUGAAAUGCAAUCACAAUCCGAAAUAUAUUUUAUUCAACGUUAUUAAAAUCUGGAUUUGGGACACAUGAAAUGCACACAUGAGUUUAGGAAGGUAAUACUAUUAAAAUAACGCGCUUAAUGCAACUAUGCGUUUUUAACUUUGUGAGGGCCAUGGAAAAUUUGCUAAAUUGCAUGCCUCGAGUUUUAAGGAUUUAAAGGAAAUAAUUAAAUAAGUACCACACAUUUGAGAUUUUUGUUUGGCAUGACGCACCUCAAUUGUAAUUCUAAGGGGUAUUCAAACUAGAUUUAAGAGGUCCAUAAAUUAUUUGUGUUGUCUAAUAUAGCGCACCUCCAAAACAAAGUCAAGCUAAUAAAUAAAACUCAAGGAAUUCAAAAUCCUUUUACACCAAGUCCAAAUUACAUUGCUGGAUGAAUGUCCGCUUCCCUUAAAAUCCGGCCAAUACAUCAUUACAAGUGUUACUAACCUACUAACUAUUAAACUACUAGACAAUAGACCCCAAUAAAGGGCCCAAUUCAAACGUGUUACAACUGUAUAACAGGGGACUCAAGAUCGAGUCCCUGUUGUUGCAUUCAGAACCAGCCUUGAUUAAAAAAGGACCAACAUCAAGUCCUACCAACUACCAGCACAAUAAAUCAAUUUUAAUUCUUCAGGCAUGGGCCUGAAUGAACGCAAUACUCGAUGAUGCAUGACAAGCCAAAGAAUGUACGUUGACGAAUAAUUACUGCCUAUGACCCAUUUUCUAGGUGUUGAUUUUUGAAGGCCAUUUAUGAUGAAAUGAUGAACAAACUCCUCAAUUUCUGAAUUAUAAGCUAAGAAAACAAGUUGAUGAAGUCAUAAACGAUAUUAGGAUUUACACAAGAAGAGUACUUCAAAUCUACGCUAAGGUCUUACUUCCAGCUUUCAAUUUUGCAAUUUAGAUUUUUCUAACCAUCAUGGUAUAAAUUAACCACACCUUGUUGCAGCUCUCUAUCACCUUUCCACUUUUUUAUUUUUAAAAAAAUAGAAGAAUCCAAGGAACACAUAACUGCUACCUCCUUCACAAAGAAACAAAAAUCCAAGAAAAGUUUGGAGGCAAAUGAGUGCUAAUUUUUAUGUUUAUAAAAUCCAAACAGUAGAUGAGGAAUCAACAGCCAACACUUAACUUUUCAAUGAAUUCAAAUAAGAAUCAAAGUUAGAAUAUGAAUGAUCUUACCCACACAUUUAAACUAGAGUUCAAAGUUCAUCAUCAAUACAGUUUUGCUCACAGAUUCAUAACAUGUAAACUUAUCCACAUAUGUAGGCUAUGCGAGUAAUAUAAAUAGGAAUCUAAGCUGAGAUUAGCAAUUAAAGUCAUAACUACACAGGGAUGGAAAACAACCAGAGAAACACAAAUAAAACUAGGUAAACAUGGAUUGCAUUUCAUUAGAUUUUACUUCAAUCGUAUAGACCACAUUCGCUUGUUGCUCAUAGAUAGAGGAAUACCUGGGAAAUCAAGAACAAAUAGUAAAUAAGGAAACAACAGUGAGCCCCAUCAGUUAGCUCGAGUUUGAUCAAAUGAAUAGUGAAGCACAUGAUAGACAACCAGAAAAAUAGAUGGACUUCAAAAAAAUUGAUUCCUGAACCAGCUUAAACCAUUUCUUCUCUAUUCAGGUGCACAAAUUCAGUAGUUUUUCUAGAAAUUCUAAACUAUCAGAGGAUUAAAUGAGCCAAACCAACACCAAAAACCCCAAAAUACCAAGUUCAAUCCAUUUUGCGCAGGCGACCCAAAAUGUGUUUCAAAAAUUGAAGGCUUCAAAAACAAAAAAGAAAUAAUGGGACAAUGUUUUCUAAUGUUCUCAGUCGUCUCUAUUUUUCAAAUUUUUUAUCUCCUAAUCCUACAAAGGCAAGAAAGUCUGCCUUUAUAGUAAAAGAAAGUAGGGCAGCCUACACAAUUCAGUUUUGCAUUUUCCCCUUUUGUAAAUUUUGUUUUUUUUUUCUUAGCAAUCCUCAGCUAAUUUUAUGUUCAUUAAAACAGUCCCCCUCCCCAGCUUCUAGGAAGCUUCCUAGUUCGAUAUUUGGGAUAUUCCUUCACCUAAUUAUGCAUAGUACCCCUUAGAGCCCUGUUAAUUACUGUGAGACACCUGACGGAUGAUCCAACCUAAUGGGUCUGAUAGACCUUGUUCAAAUCCAUUCCGGGAUUAUUCAAACUUUAUGAGCCAAAAUAAAAUCUAGUAAGGGCUAUCUAUUUUAGACUUAUCCGAGAUUAUCCCAUAGAAAAAUCCGAAUCACAGAAAACUUAGCCCAAAACGAGAGAAACUUUUUCAUCUAACAAACAACAACACAAUUAUACUGAUGAAUGACUCAUGCAAGGCCCACUGAGCCCGAAACAAAUAAACAAAAAAACCAGAAGAAAAAGAAUAAGCAGAGCAACGAAUGAGAGAGAAAAUUAAAGAAAAGAUAACAAGACAAGAAAAAUACCUAACGAAAUGCUUCGAACAAAAAUUAGAGAAGAACCUUCAAACUUUCAAAUUCUUUAUUCAAUCUGAGGUUAAGCAUGUGCUUUUUCACCAGAAACACGUGAAUAACCUCAGAAUGAACCGAAACCUCGACGAACACUUCAAUUGGAAAGAUUUGGAAUUUUUAGGGUUAGACUAGAUUCAAGAUUCGAGGACCUUUUGGGGUUAUUCGAGGGAAAAUAAUAUGGGAUUUUGGAUAGGGAAUGCCUGGUGAUCAUUUGGUGUUAAUUUGGUGGGGAAAAGGGUAGCGCAGCCGGAUUUCUGAGGUGGCGGAUUAGAGGUGGAUAGGGCUUUGCAAGAGUCUCUAAAAGGGGUGUUUUAGGAGAGACGAGUGAUAGGGGGUGAGGGGUAGUGAGGUUUUGACACUGAUUUAUAAUAAUUCCCCCUAGUUCCCUGCUGUAGGAUUAGAUAAAUGAACGGCCUAGAUCAAGCACGACCAAACAAGGUCGUUUGGCUAACUAAGGGAGGACCAACUGGUUCUGGGGACGGGUAUGGGCUGGGACAGGAGAAUUUGAGGGGUAAAGUAUUUGGGCCUGGAGAUUUGAUUUUAAAGAACAGCCCAAACAUUAAUUUCUCAUCUCUCUUCUUUUAUUUUUUCUAAAUUCCCUUUGUUUUUUUUUUUCAAAAUUAAGUUAAUUCAUAAAUUAAUCCCUAGAACCUAAUUAACUGAGAAACUGAUAAAACCUAAAGUGACAAUUAACACUAUUAAUUCAAAAAUAAAUUAACAGAAAAACUCCUCAAAAACAAAAGCCAAAAUUAAAAGUGUAAUUAAACUAUUUUGGUAAUUUUCUUUUUUUAUAAAUAACUUAAUUGAUCCUAAAAUACUAAAUUAAAUACUAAAUGAAAAUGCACAUAUUUUUGUAUUUUUUUGUUAAAUGAAAUAGAAUAAACAUGCACAGAAAAAUACAAAUAAAAAUUCACAGAAUUGCAAAUAAGAAUAAAGAACAAUUUUAUUUUAAUAUUAUGGGAGUAGUUCAUAUAGGGCAAAAAUCAAGUGCUCACAGCUUCCCCUCUU